Molecule: ribosomal RNA, 244 nt
Filed under: uncultured bacterium
Lineage: Bacteria
Description: partial 16S ribosomal RNA
Rfam family: Bacterial small subunit ribosomal RNA
Source: RNAcentral
UUAGUGGCGAACGGGUGAGUAACGCGUGAGUAACCUGCCCUAGAGUGGGGGACAACAGUUGGAAACGACUGCUAAUACCGCAUAAGCCCACGGUACCGCAUGGUACUGAGGGAAAAGGAUUUAUUCGCUUUAGGAUGGACUCGCGUCCAAUUAGCUAGUUGGUGAGGUAACGGCCCACCAAGGCGACGAUUGGUAGCCGGACUGAGAGGUUGAACGGCCACAUUGGGACUGAGACACGGCCCAG